This is a long non-coding RNA of Nerophis lumbriciformis (worm pipefish), 8483 nucleotides long. RefSeq lists it as uncharacterized. NCBI's taxonomy places the organism in Eukaryota, Metazoa, Chordata, Actinopteri, Syngnathiformes, Syngnathidae. The record is from RefSeq and is a predicted model, not a curated record.
UGAUUAACUCGCAAGUGUUACCAGCUGCUGUCCCGCUGUUCUGUGUCACCGUAUCUGCUCUCAAAAAUUUAUGUGACAAUUCUUUUAACUUUUUCCCCUCUCCGACUCCUUCUCUUUCUGUUAACCCUCUCUCACAACAGCAUGUCCCUCCCUUCCUCUUUCUGUGUCUCUUAGCACGCCCUCCCUUCGCUCUCCUUCCCUCUUGGCAGCAGUGCCAAAGUGGGCAGGCAGACGGAGGCAAACACAGCACAGGCCAGAGCAAAGGGCGAUUCAAAGGCUGGCAAAUUGAUAAAUGUAGACGUUUUCAACUGUAUAGUGUCUGUCAUUUUGUUGUUCUUGUUCCUUUUUUUUUUGCGAUUGCCGCGUUGUUUGUCUCGGUGCCCUCUUCUGUUCCUUGCCCACACUGAGCCUGUUUUACUGGUUCACGUUUCGGAUGUGUUUGUAGAGCUAUGCGAGAGCAGACGUCCUUCUGUCACCCUGUGCUUAAGCAGACGCACUCAUGCCAGGAGGAGGGGAUUGUGGGAAAAAGGGGUGUCACUCUCAGAGGGUGUGCUCUACUCCUCUCUUUUCCCUUCUUCCCGCCAUCACGGCCCUCUUCUACUCCAGUCCUCCGGCCCAGGCCGCCGCUCAGAUACAGACUCCAGGUAUUUUCCCUUUUUAUCCCGAAACACCUCUUGCUGUCUCUUUCACUGCCAUGUACUGUUGCUCACCUAUUUCCUCUGUCCUUUAUCCCGAUCAUUGUCCCGUAAACACGUCUGUCGUCGUCAGCUGCCACGCCGCACACCGCCAUUUUGACUCGAUGGCCAUAACAGGAGAAACUUUUCUCGCCCUCAGAGGGACUCUUUGACUCCCUGCUAGUCAUCUUCGGUCUCGAGCUUCUUUUUAAACUCUCCAGGCUCUCUUUUUUCGUGUUCCCUUUCCUCUCCCUCUCUGCUCUGAAACAACUGGGCACUUGCCAAGUGGUGAUCAAUAUUUCUGUGUGUUUUUUUUCGUAAUGAACAGGUUUCACUUUGGAGUAAAUACAGGUCCUGCUGAUUAAUUUUCAAAGACAUUGCCAAAGAAUGGCAGCGCCCGUUGUUUUCAGGUCGGUCCGAAUUGGUGUGUGGCGAAGGUCGUAAGGCCACUGAGGCACUUGCUGGGUCUCUUAUCACCUUGGGCAGCUGCUAUAAGUAACACAAUGUUUCUCAUUACCCUCACAAACUGUUUGCACUUUCAAGUUUCACUCGGCAAUAUUGCCUUCGUUUAAAAUGCACGUGCGUUUGUGCUUUGUACAAGCGAGAGGAACGAAAGGUGUAAUGUUUGUCUCAAACCCAUGCACUUGACUCGGUAGACAUGAAGACUGAGUCACGUUGAUAAGUCCAGUUUCAUGAGCAAAAAUUGCAAUAAUUGUUCAAGACAAAACGUGACCAUUGAGAUACUAUUUUAUUUCAGCACUAUUUUGCCUCAGUAGCAUUUGGUGCUAAAAUGGCGCCGUGAAGCCACGUGUUUCACAAACAGCAAAAAAAGGGCAGACGCCAUGCCUCUCGGUUCAGUUUGCGGGUCUAUUUUUCUGGAUUGCGUCACAUCCGUCUUCGUCAAUUGCUCAAUUUUGGCACCCACAUCAAAUUUUUUUUGAUGAGAACGCAGUAAUAAGGCAUCAUUUUAUCGACAUCAUCAUUUAAGGAAAAUACUCAGUAAGAAGCUGACGCUGAAGAGACAACAUGGUGCAAGCGAUAGGAAGAGAGAUGGGAGUGGCAGAGCGCCCUCCCCGCCCCCUCGCGUAUCCUCAGAUGAACUUAGUGUGUUUCCUCAUUAUGUUCCUCCUUCAGGCAGCUAACUUCCUGCUUAAAGCUGAUUGGUUGAUAUUUUGUCUGGCCUGUCACUGUAUGCAGCAAGGCAACAGGAAGUUUUUGUUUCCACACAGGAAGCUGCAGCUUUGUCAUCCUAUUCAUGCCAUACCUCUGUGUAAAUACUGUAUUUGCGCGUGUGUGCGCGGCCUACAUCAGUGCAAAAACAUGUGGGCGUGUAGCAACAUGCCAUCAGGCCAGGAAUCCGUGCCAUCAGAAAGACUGAAACCAUGGCAACAGCACACAAUGUCAGAAAAUGGAUAUAUAGGCUGAACAGACGAGAUCAAUUAUAUUAAAUAAUUUAAAAAAUGUUUACAAAAAUCAUUCAUUGCAAAUUAACCUGUCAAUUUGAGUGCAAGGUGUUUGCUCUGCAAGCUUUUAAAUACACAUAUUUACGAAGCAAGUACUACUGUAUAUCUAUGCCUGGAAGAAAGUAAUGUCUUAGUGAAUACAAUAGAGCCUUUACUCCAACAUUAUCUGAGUCACUCUAUCUUUUCCAUCAAAUGUCUUGACAGAUAUGUUUGCCCAGUGUUUGGAUCCACCAGUCUCACAUCAGCGUGUGAAGCCUUCUGUCUAGCAAGAGUCAUUUGCACAGCAUUGGAAUUGUUUUCAUCAGUGACGUGCGGUGAGGUUCAUGACUGGAGUGUGACCUUGACGGCUGCACUAUGAUGAGGCAACAUGAAUGCUGUCCUUGGGCCUGAGGAGACAGCUUGGUCGUCGCCCAGGUGACAAUAUGGAAGUGUUCAAGCAACACAGCAACUCACAUAACACAUAUUGUUGUGACAAUUACUGCGCUGUAUAGAAUAUGGUACCUGACCGGUGAAUAUGUUUGACCUGGGCUUUGUCAGGGUGAGGUAGUAGGUUGUAUAGUUUGGUGGGUGGGUCUGCACCCUACUCAGGUGAUAACUAUACAGUCUAUUGCCUUCCCUGAGCGGCUCACGCACGGACAGCUAAAGAUUAUUGAGCAAAACUAGUGCGCAUUUAUUUUGUAUUUGUAUUUGUGUAUGUUUAUUUGAAGGACAAUGUCCAGUUACAUUAAGAAGAUGGCUGCACCAGAUUUAGCACCAUGCUAAUUUCCAUCUGUAGUCCUUUUAUGGUGCAUCUAACAUCCACAAUAAAAUUGCACAUGUUUGAAAAUACACAACGAUAUUAAAAUUACAUGAUGAUAAACAAUUUAAAAAUACAAGUACAAUACAUAGAGGGUAUGUGAGUUACAAAUCAGUGGGUGGUCAAGUUACAGUAUUUUAGCAGCUUCAUUUAAAGUGCAGAAGUAUAUAAAGUGCAGCAGUUGUUAUCAAAGUCCACAUACAGUGCAGUAGCCAUCAGAUGAUCAAUCAACCCCAUUGAUAAUGCAUAUAUAAAACAGUUUGCAAUGUUACAAGAUUGGAAUUGUACUCUGGUGGCCAUCAGACUGCUCCUGCCAGGGUAUCAUUUGAUUUGUAUACGUCACUCAAUUAUAAGUGUGAACAACGAACUGUUUAAGUAAAAAAUGUCAACAAAUUCAGACUUUACAAAUGCUUGGCUUUACCAUUGUAGUCUUGAGCGCCCUCCAGUGAAUACAACGGAAUACUGCAAACCCAGUUCACCACCCUUGAAUGUCCUCGUCCACCAGUGAAAUGUAAAGGAUCAUUUUAAAGUUUGUAUUGUUUUACAGUUUUAUACAACAUAUCAGACUAGAAAAUGUGUGUAUAACACGUGAAAUAAAAACUGAACAUAUUUCCAUCAGACGUUGAAGACAGUUUGAAGGACACGCCAAAUAACUAAGAACACAGCAGUGGUGCUGAUUUGAGUUAAAAUGUAGUUCCGGGUAAUAGUCUUUUACAUUAUCCUCCUUCAAAACCGCACUAAAAGAACACCUCCAGGCAACUUCAACCCUUAACUAACACCCUCUUUUCCACAUCCUACCUCUUCGGAUUGUAAAUAAUCAAAUGUAGACACUUUUUCUUAUACUUUCUGAUGUCUCUCUCUGUGUCCACUACUUGCUGUACAUAUCCUACCAAGUCAGCCCUACACUGUUCCAAUGUCAAUUUCUCUAAUGAUGCAAUUGUUGAUGACUGAAGUGUUGAUACCAAGCAAACCUAACCCACCCCUCCACAUCCCACACCCCGGAUUGUAAAUAAUUCAAUGUAUAUACUCUGAUGAUUAUCUUGUGUGAUGACUGUAUAUAUAUGAUAGUAUAUAUCUGUAUCAUGAAUCCAUUUAAGUGGACCCCGACUUAAACAAGUUGAAAAACUUAUUCGGGUGUUACCAUUUAGUGGUCAAUUGUACGGAAUAUGUACUUCACUGUGCAAUCUACUAAUAAAAGUUUCAAUCAAUCAAUCCAUCAAUCGAUAGAAACUACAAAGAGUAGAAGGUUUUAUUUUUAUUUUUUUAUAUAUUUUUUUAUUGAACAACAAACAUACAUUUAUAAUUAACUCAAUAGUUAAGGCACUUUCAACAGCAAGGAAAGAAAACAAAAGCAAGUACAGAUAGAGUAUUAAAUAUUAAUAAAUUAUAAUAAUAACAAAUAUAUUUAAAAAAAAAAAAAAGACAAAAAAGGUCUACCUAAAUCACUUUAAAUGCUUUUAACAAAGAUAUCAAUUAAAUGGCUUUUGUACUCUUAAUCAUUCUCCAAGAUUUGAUUGAUAAUUGUAAACCAUUAAGCCAAUUAGAAAAUGUAGGCCUUGCUUUCAUAAAUCGACAUUUACCGUAUUUUCCGGAGUAUAAGUCGCACCUGCCGAAAAUGCAUAAUAAAGAAGGAAAAAAACAUAUAUAAGUCGCACUGGAGUAUCCAUCCAUCCAUCCAUUUUCUACCGCUUAUUCCCUUCGGGAAUAUAUCUCAGUAUAAGUCGCAUUUUUUGGGGAAAUUUAUUUCAUAAAAUUCAACACCAAGAAUAGACAUUUGAAAGGCAAUUUACAAUAAAUAUAGAAUAGUGAACAACAGGCUGAAUAAGUGUACGUUAUAUGAGGCAUAAAUAACCAACUGAGAACGUGCCUGGUAUGUUAACGUAACAUAUUAUGGUAAGAGUCAUUCAAAUAACUAUAACAUAUAGAACAUGCUAUACGUUUACCAAACAAUCUGUCACUCCUAAUCGCUAAAUCCCAUGAAAUCUUAUACGUCUAGUCUCUUACGUGAAUGAGCUACAUAUUAUUAUUUGAUAUUUUACGGUAAUGUGUAAAUAAUUUCACACAUAAGUCGCUCCUGAGUAUAAGUCGCACCCCCGGCCAAACUAUGAAAAAGACUGCGACUUAUAGUCCGAAAAAUACGGUAUGUAGAAAUUGUUUUGCCUGGUGCAUAAUAAUGUUGACAAACAUUUCUAUGUUACAGUCGUUUAUAAAAAUACCAAAUCUGAUCUCUUCUAUAGUGAAUGGGGAGAUCUCCACGCCCUUGUCUCUCAGCCAAUCUCUGAUCUCCUCCCAAAACACAUGUGCACUCUCACAUUCCACAAACAGAUGAUUGGCAUCCUUUACAGCUCCACAUAUAUAACAGCCAUCAACCUCUAUGUUAAAUUUAAGUUUCAAAAAAAUCCUUUGAAGGGUAUAUUCCAUUAAUAAUUUUAAAUCGUAUUUCUUUAAUUUUGGGAAGAAUUGGAAUAUAUCUUGUCCUCAUGUUCCUUGGCUCAGCUUUUGUAAACUCCUUCAGGAUAUAUUGUCUAUGAACUGUGGCCGGAAAAUAUAAUUUCACUAAAACUGCCUACUUAUAUAUUUGAUGGAACAUUUUUCAUCACAGAAAUUAAACAACUAGUAGAAGUGCCUGUUUCCACCUUUCAUUCGGCAAUUAGCAGACAAUUGUGCGCACUAUUGCCUUCUUUAGGACAGGCGUGGAAUAGCAGGCACGUGACAGCUUUGCAAGGCGUACAGUCAUUAUUGUAUUUGUACAAUUAUUUCACCCUACGUACGAUCAAUAAUUAUAAACAUGUCAUAAUUUUCGAUGAUCUCACCGAGUCAAAACAUGACUAUUAGCUUACUUAAACAGGCAUAAUAUAUACAGCAAUGUGCACUCUGCGUCUCCGCCUGUUGCAGGCUGCCUCACGUGUCUCUUUAUAGCCAAUCAACACACAGUAACACGAAUGCCGUAACCGGUAGACGCAUAGACAUCUUAUAAGUAGACGCAGCAUUGAGCGCUACUGCCUACCGGCGCUGACGAGACGCGGGGCCGCCAUCUUGGAGUGGUGAUCGGCUCCACUCAGUGCAAUUCAUUUGGCAGGAGCAAUGAACUGUCAGCGCAUUUAAUUCAUCUUUCUCACUGAAUACCACUGAUUUUCACGCGGUUUUUGUCAUACGUGUACCUAUGAUAAAGGACACAUGUUUUGGCGUGUUUUAUUAUUCAUAGUUUGCGUAACAGUCAUAUAAUAUUCUUAUAUGCUAUAAAUGACAGAUGUCCGAGAUCAAAAACUGAGAAUAUAAUCCCAGAGAAGGGGAAAAACGGUCAGCUAUUUUUAAGUUGAAGAAACAAUAUGAUUAGGUUAUAUAUACAUGCGUAUAUCCUACAUAAACAAUGUAUGAAUACAUUAGAUAUCUAUAUAUCUUAGAGACAUAUAGACUGUAUCUCUGUUGCUGCAGCAGCAGAGUUUAUUCUGUCUUGACACUUUGUAUUGAUAUUUUGUAUUACAUUCUUCCCUUAAAUGAUAAUGUUUACAGUGAUUGUUUCAUAUGUAAUUUUUAUGUAUGUCGCUUUGGAUAAAGGCGUCUGCCAAAUACUUAAACAUAAACAUAUAUAAACACCUGAAAGUCUUUAUAUCAGCUAAAACCACCAAUCUGUUUCACUGGAUUCUGAAUAAAAUCAAAUUCUGUCUUACCCAACAAUGUUAUUGUUACUUGAAGACUUAUUCCUGGUUACAAUUAUACUGUUAAGAAAGUAUUGUCUUAUACUUUGCCUAAAAUGAGAAUGCAUCAUAAUCAGUGGCGGCUGGUGAAUUUUGUUUUAGGUGGGGCUGAAAGUUUGUAAACCAAACCCCUGUAGGGGGGUCAUCCUCCCCCAGAAGAUUUCUUUGUGAUUUGCACAUACAAAUGAAGCAUUCUGGUGCAUUCUGACAAAAUAACGAAGACAAAAUAGAACAUUUCAUAGGUUUGCAGAGAACUAUAUACAAUAUGCACACUGAAGGCAUGAUGACACAAAAAAGAAAAAUGACAUAUUUCACGAAGGUGGGCUACACAAAAUUGGGUUGGAAAGCUAGACUAAAUUUAGACUUGUAUACAGUAAUACUGUAUAGCCACUGUCCAUCUGAUUGUCUAGUUAGCUAACAUAUAUUACCCCCCCUACACAAUCUGGACUGUGGUCCUAACUUUUACCCCUGUUGGCUUUUACAAUCUUUAUCUUCAUCAUUUAUUUCAACUUUAUGUUAUUCAAGUAUGACAUUUUUAAAUGUAAUUAAUUUCAUUGACAAGCAAUUAUAUUAUGGUCAUGCUCUUGUUUGCUAGCGGCUACGAUUUCGGUACUAUUGAAGAUCUUUGCUCCUUCUCAACUCUGUGGUAAUAUUAUUUUCAUAAAAUACAACCAAUAUUACGUUAAUGUUAAAAUCUUACUUGUGAAAAGUAAUCCCCCGAUUCCUAUUUUCAACAGUCCGCUCAUUUGAGCAGGAAAACACUGAACACCAUCUUUGUUUUCUACCUGUCAACUGUCAGUUUAGCAUCUUUGUUUUCUACCUGUCUGCUAACACAGACCCGCAGACGUGAGCACAUCACCCCUAUUUUAGCGUCCCUUCACUGGCUCCCUGUGCGUUACCGAAUACAUUUUAAACUCCUUUUAUUUGUUUUUAAAUGUCUAAACAACCUCGCGCCAACCUAUCUCUCCGACCUCCUUCAGCCUUACUGCCCCACCCGAUCCUUAAGAUCAGCCGAUCAGCUGCUGUUGACGGUCCCUGACACAAGGCUGAAGCUUAGAGGUGACAGAGCUUUCGCCGUUGCUGCUCCCAAGCUCUGGAACGACCUACCCCUGAGUGUUAGACAAGCCUCCUCUCUUCCUGUUUUUAAAUCUCUCUUAAAAACAUACUUUUAUUCCAUAGCUUUUAACACUGAGUGAUAUCCAUCCUGCAAUGGCGCCCCAUAAUACACCUGCUGUGAUCCUGUUUUUAUGUUUUUAUGUUUUUAUUAAUUCUAUUUUAAUUAUUAUUUUUUUUUAUUGUGUUCUGUUUGUGUUGUGUUGUGUUUGCUCGGUACUCGUUUUAUCUUUUAACCUGCUCAUUGUACAGCACUUUGGCUACCCCUGUGGUAAAUUUUAAAUGUGCUUUAUAAAUAAAGUUGAUUUGAUUUGAUUUGAUUUGUCAACUGUCAGUUUCGGUUGCUCGCUGGCUCCUCAUCACCACUUCAAGAUGGCGGCCGAAUUUCUCGCGUCACAGCAGCCAAUGCUGCGUCUACUUAAAAGAUGUCUAUGGGUAGACGCACAUAACACGGAAGUACGCAACGUAAACAAAGGUGGACUAUUGACGUGUACAAAGAGAGUGUCCGAGAGAUUACAUAAAAAGAAGAUGCAGGGAGAGGUGGGGACGAAGGGGUAGGUAUGACAGUAUCGCCAGCAGACUGAAACGAAUGAGGGGAAACUACACUUUUAAUUGAUGGCUCUAUCGGCAACGUUUUUUGUUGUGGCUACAUGCAAACGUGGCAUAGAUCAUCGUUCUAAAAAAAAUCACACCAAGUCAAAAAAAAAAAAGAACAAAAAAAUGCCACAGAAAUGUCAAA